GCCGGGUGUGUUGGCAUGCACCUGUAAUCCCAGCUACUCGGGAGGCUGAGGCAGGAGAAUCGCUUGAACCCAGGAGGCAGAGGUUGCAGUGAGCCGAGAUCACGCCACUGAACUCCAGCCUGGGCGACAGAGCGAGACUCCGUCUCAA
RNAcentral lists this signal recognition particle RNA (148 nucleotides) under Gorilla gorilla gorilla (western lowland gorilla). Its description in RNAcentral is "Metazoan signal recognition particle RNA". It matches the Rfam family "Metazoan signal recognition particle RNA". Rfam says of the family: The signal recognition particle (SRP) is a universally conserved ribonucleoprotein. It is involved in the co-translational targeting of proteins to membranes. The eukaryotic SRP consists of a 300-nucleotide 7S RNA and six proteins: SRPs 72, 68, 54, 19, 14, and 9. Lineage: Eukaryota; Metazoa; Chordata; Mammalia; Primates; Hominidae. The record is from Rfam by way of RNAcentral.